RNAcentral lists this non-coding RNA (24 nucleotides) under Arabidopsis thaliana (thale cress). The record is from RNAcentral. Lineage: Eukaryota; Viridiplantae; Streptophyta; Magnoliopsida; Brassicales; Brassicaceae.
ACACGGUGUUUGUUGACAAGUAUA